This 862-nucleotide long non-coding RNA is filed under the name Vulpes vulpes (red fox). Its description in RNAcentral is "lncRNA (ENSVVUG00000008866.1)". Lineage: Eukaryota; Metazoa; Chordata; Mammalia; Carnivora; Canidae. The record is from RNAcentral.
GUAACUUUCACAGUAUGACAGCAGAUUUGAGUAGUUAUGACACAGAUCAUAUGGACCACAAAGGCUGAAGUUUAAUAUCUGGCCUUUUACAAAAAAAUGAUAUUUGAGACUGACUUGAAAAAAUUGUAAUAAGGGUAUUGCAAACAGGAGAUAGUUUGGGUAGAGGCAGUGAUGUAAGACAAUUCUGGGUGUGUUUGUUCAUGGAAAGGAAAUUAAAGUAAAAUCUAUAAUACACAUUGGUAGUAUCCUUAAAAAAUUAACUGUGUAAAAUGUGGCAUUUUUGUUUUUUUAGAAAUUAAUGGAAGGACCAAGACUGGGCUAUUCAGCUAGCUUGCCAGGGUUCUGGUUAAACAGCUCAAAUUUGUUUAGGUCCUGGCUGCAGUUUGGCAACACCUGGUGUCUAUCAAAAGUCUUCCAGGACAGAAAUAGUAACUAUAAGAAUAUCCCAAUACUUGGCACAUGUUUCAUUGGACAGAGCCAGGGAGAUCGGAUAGGACUGGCAACAAGGAAUAUGGCCUGCAGCUUUCUGCUUCCCAAAAUUGGAUUGCUACUUACUCUCCAAUCAGGCCAAUAUUCUCCUUCACAUCUUGCCUCUUUCCUGGCCCAAGGUAUAUUGGCACAUCUGAUUAAUGAAGAUCCCAGUUUGCUGAAUCCUAAUUACUGAAUCUAGAAAUCAUUUCCUAUACACAUGCACUAUAUGGCUCUGUAACCCUCUGGUGAAAAGGCAUCUCCUGAACGUGGAUGUGUGUGGUAGUUGGUAAGAUUGUAUUCUUAUAUUCACCUACUGCUCUCUUCUCUGGGAUGUUAACUAUUUUAAUUGUUUUUAAUGAAUACCACAUGAGAUACACUAAAAGUACAUUAG